RNAcentral lists this unclassified non-coding RNA (212 nucleotides) under Glomus sp. RNAcentral's name for it is "partial internal transcribed spacer 2". Lineage: Eukaryota; Fungi; Glomeromycota; Glomeromycetes; Glomerales; Glomeraceae. The record is from RNAcentral.
GUGAAUCAUCGAAUCUUUGAACGCAAAUUGCACUCUCUUCGAGAGGUUGGCUGUUUGAGGGGCAGCCUAAAAAAAAUUGACAUAGUUGGUGGUUCGCGGUGACAUUAGGCGGAAAUUGGGUGAUCUUAAAACUUUGGGGUUUAAGAGGGUUAAAAGUUUGUUUAUGAUUCCAAGAACGGUUUUAAGAUUUACUUUUUACACGUUUAAGGUAA